UGGGGAAUAUUGCACAAUGGGCGCAAGCCCGAUGCAGCCAUGCCGCGUGUAUGAAGAAGGCCUUCGGGUUGUAAAGUACUUUCAGUCGGGAGGAAGGUGGUAAGGUUAAUAACCUUAUCAAUUGACGUUACCGACAGAAGAAGCACCGGCUAACUCCGUGCCAGCAGCCGCGGUAAUACGGAGGGUGCAAGCGUUAAUCGGAAUUACUGGGCGUAAAGCGCACGCAGGCGGUUGAUUGAGUCAGAUGUGAAAUCCCCGGGCUUAACCCGGGAAUUACAUCAGAUAAUGGUCAGCUAGAGUCUUGUAGAGGGGGGUAGAAUUCCAUGUGUAGCGGUGAUAUGCGUAGAGAUGUGGAGGAAUACCGGUAGCGAAGACGGCCCUCUGGACAAAGAAUGACGCUAAGGUGCGAAAGAGUGGGGAGCAAACAGG
This 429-nucleotide ribosomal RNA is filed under the name Chloroflexota bacterium. RNAcentral describes it as "Chloroflexi bacterium partial 16S ribosomal RNA". It matches the Rfam family "Bacterial small subunit ribosomal RNA", at positions 355 to 776 of the family's 1533-position model. The record is from RNAcentral. Lineage: Bacteria; Bacillati; Chloroflexota.